This 490-nucleotide ribosomal RNA is filed under the name uncultured bacterium. RNAcentral's name for it is "partial 16S ribosomal RNA". It matches the Rfam family "Bacterial small subunit ribosomal RNA", at positions 29 to 507 of the family's 1533-position model. The record is from RNAcentral.
GUGAACGCUGACGGUAGGCCUAACACAUGCAAGUCGAACGGCAGCACAGUAAGAGCUUGCUCUUACGGGUGGCGAGUGGCGGACGGGUGAGGAAUACAUCGGAAUCUACUUUUUCGUGGGGAUAACGUAGGGAAACUUACGCUAAUACCGCAUACGACCUACGGGUGAAAGCAGGGGAUCUUCGGACCUUGCGCGAUUGAAUGAGCCGAUGUCGGAUUAGCUAGUUGGCGGGGUAAAGGCCCACCAAGGCGACGAUCCGUAGCUGGUCUGAGAGGAUGAUCAGCCACACUGGAACUGAGACACGGUCCAGACUCCUACGGGAGGCAGCAGUGGGGAAUAUUGGACAAUGGGCGCAAGCCUGAUCCAGCCAUACCGCGUGGGUGAAGAAGGCCUUCGGGUUGUAAAGCCCUUUUGUUGGGAAAGAAAAGCAGCAGGUUAAUACCCCGCUGUUCUGACGGUACCCAAAGAAUAAGCACCGGCUAACUUCGUG